Molecule: long non-coding RNA, 750 nt
Organism: Silurus meridionalis
Lineage: Eukaryota; Metazoa; Chordata; Actinopteri; Siluriformes; Siluridae
Exons: 4
Source: RefSeq, a predicted model, not a curated record
GCCUUCGUUCAAUUCACUUCAGUUUCCAGUACGGUCUUUACGCCUGACAUACUGCUACUUGCUAAAUGCGCAGACGGACGAAGCGAGCUGGAUGAGCUGCAGAGGUUAUGCUCGGUCAGUCCGGCGCAAGGCUGAACGUCACUCCUGCGAAUGAGCUUCUCAACUCGUCUGUAAGCUCCUUUGUCCUUCCCAUGGUUCUGGUGGUUUAAAAGGAAGAGGUUGAUUCUGUGACGGGUGUCUUUUAUACACAUUUGAUAUUAGGAGCACUUUCCUUAAUGGACAGGACUAAUCUGGCGUGUCGUGACGAAGUGACUUGUGACGAAGCUGCGAAGGCGAACGCUCCCUCGAAAGCUCUAUUCUUUGGCGCCAUCGCACUUCCUGCACUUUUUCAAUGUGAAUCACGUCGUACACAUGAACCGCGUUGUUGUGCAAUGCUUCAACCUGCUUGUACAGAAACGACCCGAGGUCCCGGACGCCGUGUGUCUCGUCGGGAAUAGAAUCGCGGCCGGCUCCUGGCACAGCCAGACCACGGCGUGUGUACAGAGAGGAAGACGAAAGCACGGCUAUAAAUUACAGAGCGACAAGGUAUCAGCAAAUAAAUCACCUCGGGGUGGCCUACACACAGAGAGCAUAAUUCAUUUUGUUCUCUGGAGGUGAGAACAUUUAAGCAGGAGCUUUUCAGUGCUGCAGGAUGGAUUGUGUCUUUUACAACAUUCUUGGUGUUCUAUUAAAGUUUAAUGUCUGCAUUAA